CCCUUAGAUGUUCUGGGCGGCCCGCGCACUACAAUGGCGUGUGCAGCGAGUGCCGAAGUAGAGUUUUCCGAGGUAUUCUUGCAAUGCUCGUUUUGAUGGGGAUAGACCCUUGCAACUGUUGGUUUUGAACGAGGAAUUCCUUGUAAGCAUGGUUUAUCAUCCGACGCUGAAUGCGUCCCUGCCCUUUGUACACACCGCCUGUCGCUCCUACCGAUGAGUCGUCCGGUGAAGUUCGUAGACCUCGUGAUCGCGGAUCACUGGGGGAAGCAAAAUGAACCUCGCGGUUUAGAGGAAGGAGAAGUCGUAACA
RNAcentral lists this ribosomal RNA (309 nucleotides) under uncultured eukaryote. RNAcentral describes it as "partial 18S ribosomal RNA". It matches the Rfam family "Eukaryotic small subunit ribosomal RNA", at positions 1470 to 1796 of the family's 1831-position model. The record is from RNAcentral.